This 411-nucleotide ribosomal RNA is filed under the name Salmonella enterica. Its description in RNAcentral is "partial 23S ribosomal RNA". It matches the Rfam family "Bacterial large subunit ribosomal RNA", at positions 161 to 611 of the family's 2925-position model. Lineage: Bacteria; Pseudomonadati; Pseudomonadota; Gammaproteobacteria; Enterobacterales; Enterobacteriaceae. RNAcentral also lists the same sequence under 1 other name. The record is from RNAcentral.
AAUCCAUAGGUUAAUGAGGCGAACCGGGGGAACUGAAACAUCUAAGUACCCCGAGGAAAAGAAAUCAACCGAGAUUCCCCCAGUAGCGGCGAGCGAACGGGGAGGAGCCCAGAGCCUGAAUCAGCAUGUGUGUUAGUGGAAGCGUCUGGAAAGGCGCGCGAUACAGGGUGACAGCCCCGUACACAAAAGCGCAUGUGCUGUGAGCUCGAUGAGUAGGGCGGGACACGUGGUAUCCUGUCUGAAUAUGGGGGGACCAUCCUCCAAGGCUAAAUACUCCUGACUGACCGAUAGUGAACCAGUACCGUGAGGGAAAGGCGAAAAGAACCCCGGCGAGGGGAGUGAAAAAGAACCUGAAACCGUGUACGUACAAGCAGUGGGAGCACCCUUUGGGUGUGACUGCGUACCUUUUGU